AUUGUUUACACUUCUAUGACCAGGCCUUAAGGGAAGGUCAGUUUUUUAAAAAACCAAGUAGUGUCUUCCUACCUAUCUCCAGAUACAUGUCAAAAAAAGAAAGGUGUUUGUGCUUCCGUUUUGUUUCUGCUCAGUAAUAUAGUCAAGCAAGUUUGUUCCAGGUGACCCAUUGAGCUGUGUAUGCAUUUUUGUUUAUUUCAAUAAAAUAUAUUUGUAUUAUUUGUCCUUCAUACUAUCCAUCCAUACCACACUAUCUUCUGUAUCAGGUAGUCUAAUAGAAAUAUACCUGUUUUGUUCU
Molecule: long non-coding RNA, 298 nt
Filed under: Homo sapiens (human)
Lineage: Eukaryota; Metazoa; Chordata; Mammalia; Primates; Hominidae
Description: non-protein coding lnc-MOV10-2:1
Source: RNAcentral